Non-coding RNA from Ciona intestinalis (vase tunicate), 1155 nucleotides. Lineage: Eukaryota; Metazoa; Chordata; Ascidiacea; Phlebobranchia; Cionidae. The record is from RefSeq and is a predicted model, not a curated record.
ACGAGCGACAGAAAAUCGAUUAGAAACAGUUUCUACUCUGCUGAUAAUCACUAGCGAUGAACCGCUUUGGCGCGAAAAGUAACAGUUUAUUUUUUGCUGCAAAUUAAACGUAAAACCACUCUAGUAGAAAGCUGUGGGUAAUUAUACCAUGCUACAAUAGAAUGGACAACGACCCAUAUAUUGACCAUCAUCAUGCAAGAGCUACACAACUUGUGAAGUAAACUGAAGUGAAAGUUUCUCCAUCAUGUCAAAAAUUGCAUUAGAAUUGUUUUCAAAAUCUUCAAUAUUUACAGUGGAUUGAAUAUCUGCCAGACCAGAACUUAAUGCAUAAGUUCUAAGAAUUUUAUUAUAAAGGUAUUUAUGUUUUUGCUCCCGAAUGUUAAACCAAUUGUAAACUUUAUGCUGCCACUUGCGGCAGUUGUUUUGUCAAGUAACAAACUCUUGUGUUCUCUACCACCUCAGGAUUCUUACGCUUAUUGCUUAUUCACGGACCAUGGUUGUUGUAUAAUUACUUACGUUUGUUCGAGCAUAAGUAGAAUAUCUUGUAGAGUAUUCAUAAGAUCUUUAUAUUUAUGAAGUUUUAAAAAAUCUAGUAUAAGUCUCUAUACUUAUUAUUAAAGUAUUUGUAAUUUAUCUGUUUACCCUCUGUGUGAUUACCUGUUUUAAUAUUAUGACUGGCGUGUUUGAUCUAAACAUAACAUUUAGUUGAAAACAACUUUCCAGUUUAAUUGCUUGCGCACGUCUUCUUCAGUUUGUAUGUACAGCAAAUAUAAUCCGCUUGUUUUGCUGGAAAUAAUUCUACACUGGGGAGUCAAGAAGAUUGGUUGCGAAGAUUAUGUAACAAAGCUGUAAAUAUUUUCACGCCUUCUGUUGUAUUUAAAAAUGGCAAAUAUAAUCCGCUAGUUUUGUCAGCAAAAAUUUUUAAUCGGGGAUACAUGCGGUGAUAACCUAAACGUUAAAAAGCUUAAAAUUCAGACAGAUUAGUUGUAUCAUAUAUUAAGUUUGUUUAACGUGUUUGUAAUAUUUAGGAAGUUGGGUUUGUAAACUAUUUUAGUCCCCAAUGCUGAACCUAAUGGUAACUCUGUAUUGCCCCAUGUGGCGGCAGAUUUUAUACAAAAUGUAUAGAAAAUAAAGCGUACGGAUUGUAAAUAUUAA